GUGGGCGUAGCUCAGUUGGUAGAGCCCCGGAUUGUGAUUCCGGUGGUCGGGGGUUCGAGCCCCAUCGUCCCCCCCA
Molecule: transfer RNA, 76 nt
Filed under: Gammaproteobacteria bacterium TMED222
Lineage: Bacteria; Pseudomonadati; Pseudomonadota; Gammaproteobacteria
Description: tRNA-His
Rfam family: tRNA
About the family: Transfer RNA (tRNA) molecules are approximately 80 nucleotides in length. Their secondary structure includes four short double-helical elements and three loops (D, anti-codon, and T loops).
Source: RNAcentral